GAUGAACGCUGGCGGCGUGCCUAAUACAUGCAAGUCGAGCGAACAGACGAGGAGCUUGCUCCUCUGACGUUAGCGGCGGCCGGGUGAGUAACAAGUGGAUAACCUACCUAUAAGACUGGGAUAACUUCGGGAAACCGGAGCUAAUACCGGAUAAUAUAUUGAACCGCAUGGAUCAAUAGUGAAAGACGGCUUUGCUGUCUCUUAUAGAUGGAUCCGCGCCGCAUUAGCUAGUUGGUAAGGUAACGGCUUACCAAGGCAACGAUGCGUAGCCGACCUGAGAGGGUGAUCGGCCACACUGGAACUGAGACACGGUCCAGACUCCUACGGGAGGCAGCAGUAGGGAAUCUUCCGCAAUGGGCGAAAGCCUGACGGAGCAACGCCGCGUGAGUGAUGAAGGUCUUCGGAUCGUAAAACUCUGUUAUUAGGGAAGAACAAAUGUGUAAGUAACUAUGCACGUCUUGACGGUACCUAAUCAGAAAGCCACGGCUAACUACGUG
This 497-nucleotide ribosomal RNA is filed under the name uncultured bacterium. RNAcentral's name for it is "partial 16S ribosomal RNA". It matches the Rfam family "Bacterial small subunit ribosomal RNA", at positions 28 to 507 of the family's 1533-position model. The record is from RNAcentral.